GCCAUGCUUUUGGGAAAAUUCGGCCAAAUCCAAAGGGUGGAUUUUUGGAUUCUUGUUUGACUUGUUAAAAGUGUUUUCAAGUCACUUUUGGAACCCCUAUGUACCCUAGUUUGGUUAUAUGUUAUUUCCCUAAAGUUUGAAUGGUUUUGGAAUGUUUUUGGGUGAAAAAUGUUCAUGGAAAUUUUUUGAGUUUUUCAUGAGUGUUCUUCAUUGUUCUUGACAUUUUUGCCAAGAACAAAAAGUUUGGUGUUUUGAUUCAAAGUUUUGAUUUAUUUCAUAAAGUUUAUGUUUUAUGUUUUUCAAAUGAUUUAAUGUGUUAGAUAUUUGUUUAAAUGGUGGUAGAAAUAUUGGUGGGUGUGAAAGGAUUAAUUUCCUUUCACACACACCACUUGCAUGACAUUUAUGUCAUGCACCACUUGCAUGCUUUAUGUCUAAAACUACAAAUCAACACACACAUCACUCUCUUUGCUCUCCAAAACCAGCCACUCCCUCAAUGGGAGUACUUUUGGGGCUUUUAUGCAAUUACAUAAAGUUUUGAUACUUUUGUGUAUUUGCACUUUGGCCCAAAAGUUUACGUUUUUACGUUUAGGUCCAAAAACGCUAAAGGACAAAUUGUUUUGCUCCUUUAAUGAAGUUUUUGCAUUGUUUAAAUUUUGGGUUCUAGUUGUAAUUACAUGAAGUAGUGGACUUUUGUGUUUUUACAAAGUGACCCCAGAAGUUUAUGUUUUUGCAAUAUAGCCCAAAGGUUGUGGUAAUUGCAUAUUGGCCCAAAUUAGGAUGAGAACAAAAUUGUUUUGUCUCUUUAAAUGAGAAUUGGAUUUUCAUUUCAUUUAGCUCCAUUUAAAUCAAUUUUAUGGAUACAAAAACCAAAUGAAAAUGUUGCAUUCAAUUUAAUUAGUUAAAGUGUUAAUUAAUUAAAGGGUGAUUAUGAACCUGAGCCUACGAUAAUUGAGCUAUGUGAAAGGCCGUUUCAAAUUUGUUUGAACCAUGGGAAUGUGUAGAUUAGAUUUGUGGUUGUAAUUUGAUUUGAUCAAAUGUUGUAAUAAAAGAGCAUAAGCUCUUCUUUACUUUAAAGUAAUUUGUUUUAUUCAAUUGUUGUAAAAGAGCAUAAGUUCUUCUUUACUUUAAAGUACUCAUUUUCUUGUUUUUAUUUGAUAUGCAUG
RNAcentral lists this long non-coding RNA (1163 nucleotides) under Malus domestica (apple). RNAcentral's name for it is "long non-coding RNA (MDOM_LNC012790)". The record is from RNAcentral. Lineage: Eukaryota; Viridiplantae; Streptophyta; Magnoliopsida; Rosales; Rosaceae.